CGGGGUGUAGCGCAGUCUGGUAGCGCAUCUGCUUUGGGAGCAGAGGGUCGGAGGUUCGAAUCCUCUCGCCCCGACCA
Molecule: transfer RNA, 77 nt
Filed under: Ideonella dechloratans
Lineage: Bacteria; Pseudomonadati; Pseudomonadota; Betaproteobacteria; Burkholderiales; Sphaerotilaceae
Also listed under: 10 other names
Description: tRNA-Pro
Rfam family: tRNA
About the family: Transfer RNA (tRNA) molecules are approximately 80 nucleotides in length. Their secondary structure includes four short double-helical elements and three loops (D, anti-codon, and T loops).
Source: RNAcentral